AUGGAAAGAAAAAAAAGAAGCUUCAGGCUUCCACAUGCGCUAAUUUUUCGUGUAGGAGUCCUGGAACAAUGAGCCUUUAACGUGCAUACGUAAAUAAUUAGCGCCGUUACAAGUCGGCUGGUUCCUUAUUAAUUGGCUGCACGUGCAUGAACGGAGCCGGGCGGUGCCGUCGGGGCGGGGAUGUGAGCGGAGCGCUCCGGGUCGGCUUGGGAAGGAGGAGGGACCCCCCUGGCGGCUGUGCGGGAGAACGGCUCCCGUCGGCGCGGCGUGCUGCCCCGUGCUGCCCCGUGCUGCCCCGUGCUGCCCCGUGCUGCCCUUUUACCGGCACACGAUAAUUAGGGUUCGGUGUCUCCCGCUAUCAUCCCACAAUAAACCGCCCGGACGGCCGGGUUUGCUUGGGACAGAGGGCACGUUCGGGCCCGACGGAUUUAGGCCAUGGAGGCUAAAAUGACAGGAAAUGGUCUGAUGGAGGGAUUUCGAUGGAACCCACAAGAAAACAAUCAAGUUUUUACCUUGAUCUCCAGUGGAUACGACUGACUUGAUUUACUAUCAAAACAAGCAACAAAGGAAUUCACUUUAGGAAGGAAAUCAGUACUAUAAAAAAUGAGUGAAAAGCCUGCAAUUCUGAAGACCACAAGUUUUGGAGAACAAAUGACGAUGGAAGUUAAUGUUGGCCUUUGGAUGAAACCAACAGCCAGCUCUACUGAACCAAGCAGAGCAUUCCUAACCUGACAUGCUGACAGGGACACCCCUGCCUAUUCCAAAAGAGAGUUUGGAUGAAGCCAGAUUUAUCGCGUGUUCCCAACAGGGGCUGGGCUGACUCUAAAGGAAGCUAUGCAGGCCAAAAGUAAACAAGAUACACAUGAAGUCGUUUGUGCCAUCAGGAAAUCUUCCAGGGGUUAUGUGCAGAGGAGAAAGAAAGCCAGCAGAAAUAAAUGGCUUAAGCUGUCUUUCCCCUCUCCUCCUUAUGCUCUGUCUCUGUAUUUUCAGAGGAUGUAAAUGAAGGUCUCCUCCCCAGAAUUCUUACCCUUAUAUGCACUUUCUUUACCUCUGCUCCCCCAUGAAAGUAACUCUGUGUGCUGCUCCCUCCCGGCACAGCAGCUCCCUUUGUGGCAGCUGCUGGGGAUGCUCAGUGGCACAGUGCUGCUCCUGCGGCUGCUGGCAUUCAUGCUUGGAUAUGGACCCCUGCAAGAGCAGGCCUGGGCUGGACAGCCGCGCUUUUCCCAGGAGCAUGUGUGAAUGAUUUGAAUUAUGUAAUUCUGUAAAGAAAAUGUAGCCUUUUCCAGCUGCAUUUACUGUGAGCAGACACGCAGCCACAGUAAUUGCAAAUAUCGGGACAAGAAACUUUUGCAUUUACAUUCUGGCAAACUGGAGCCAACAUUUUAAUCUGCUAAGAGAGCCCAGGAGAGCUGUGCUGGUGGCACACAUUGUUCACUGCUCCAUGUCUGACCAGAGUCUGACUUGAACUUUGUAAUUUGCUGGAGUGGAGUCACUAAAUUACACACUGCUAUGAGAUAUACAAUCCCACAUGAGACACAGAGCAGCUCCUUAAUACGACAGCCUUCAAACAGGCAUGAGCUCAAAUACCACUGCAGAGAACAAAGCUUCCCAGUGUUAGAUACAGCAUUAGAAGUUCUACCUCGUGAAAUGUUAUGGACUUUAUUGUCAAAGGAAAUCCAUAUUUGUGCCCAUAAUAAUAGUGUGCCUGGAACUCCCUGCCAAAGAAAAAGUCUGUGCAGCAACGUAUAGACAAGCAACAGCGCACACAAAAAGGAAAGUUGUUGAGUGUCUGCUUUACAAAUGCAGCCCUGGGGUUUCAGAAGUGCAAGAUAUACAUAUGCAGAAUGGAGACAGUUAUAGGCUGCUUGGCAGUGCAGACCGGCGUGUAAAAUAUGGGUCUCAGAAGGUUCCUUUAUGGCCUGAACCGAAGAUUUUGCAGCAGCCUUAAUGUUCUGUUUGCUGUAUUUUGGAAAUCAGAACUCUGCAGUUUCAGAGAUGUGUGUUGCCUUCUAACCUGCAUUAACAUUUGAAUUUUCUGUGAAUCUUCCAUCAUCAGAAUGACAGCAGUCCGGCUCAUCCAGUGUGGUGCUAUUGGUAGUGAUGGGGGGUUGCAGUGCUGUGGGUUGCAGUGGCUGUGAAUUACCCGUGUCAGUUGCAGCAACGACUGCUUGUGCCAAAGCAAGGCACAGAUAGAAAACUAUUGGCACAGAAAAUUGGCAAGAGAUGAUCAAUGAUUGUACAUGCACAUUCACCACAGUCACGCUGGCUUUAAUAGCUGUAGCAUGUGCUCAGCCAAGGAAGAGGUUUUCAUUAGAUAGAUGCAGAUAGAUAUAAAUAGACAUAUCUGUAUCUAUCUAGGAAUAGACAGAUAUGUGCAUGUGUGUAUAAAACACACAAAAAUCACAGCUACUUGGUCUUGUCCUUUUGCCAUAAUGUCUGACAGAGAUUUGUCCCAGUAGUAAUUACACUAUAUUCUUUAUGUGUACCAAGUUAUUUACUCAUUUUUAUUUUAGGCAUCAGGAAGGAACAAAGGCAAAAAUCUGAAGCAAAUCAGAUCCAGAUUUCAGCCUGAGAAGUGCAAAAUAUACGGCCAGGUCACUCCAACAGCUCCAGUGCAAUCACUGCUCUCAUCUGUUUGUAAAUGUCCUUUGACUUGCUCUUGAUCUUGGCAGCAAGCUCACAGUUUAAGCUUUGGCUCUCCAUCCAAGUAGGAAUAUUUAGGCCAAUACGGACGCUUGAAUCUCUCAGUCCUCAAAGGAACUGAUAAAAUUAUGGACAAGUUCCAUUAAACAAUACUGUCUUUGUGCUUAUUUACUUAGAAUGAGGCUGUGCAUGAGGCUCUUUAUCUCCAAGGGGAGUGAGAAAUGUGCAGCAGGGAGCAGAGGCGCAGAGCUGGACGUGGUGUCACCACCCACCUCUCCCCAGGCCCAGACUUAGAGUUUUACCCACUUUGGCCAGCAGCAAUGGAGCCUCUCCCAUGGAGGGAGUGUGACUCAGAGGGGUGUCUGAAUCAUCAGGGCUUCCCCUGGGCGAGGCCCCUUGUGCGAACUGCCUGUCCACAUGUCUGGGCGUGGGGAUGGGGAGGGAGAUGUGCAGUACAGGGACAGCCCUGUUAGGGACCCUACAGCUGCAGAACAGCCACAGGUGGGAAGCAGCAUGGAGGUGAGGUAUGGCAUUGGCAAAUAUUGCUCCUAUGACAUUUUGGUGUUUGCAUCCAGGGCCUGUUUUCACUUCAAUGGUGCUACAACCCAUGGCUGCUUCCCUGCUAAGUUAACAACGAUGUGAGGACAUAAAUGAGGGACUGCUGCAGACGACAUUGGCCUUCUGGCAUUUUCGACUCUUUUCCACCCACCCUUGAAAAUCAUCUCAGGCCCCAAAUGGAUUUGUGAGCUGAACCACAUGCUUGGAAUGAAGUGCUAAUUAAAUGCUUCUACUUGAUGUAGACAACAUUUCUUUGAAAGGAUGGUAAUGUGCUGCAGAUGCCAUGUAUUCCCAUAGGGAUGGAGGAAGCAAGCAGUGCUGGUAGGUCGCCCUGCUCGAGGAAAGUGGGAUGUAUCAUGGGCGGCUCAUGGCUGGCAAGGCUGCAUGCUGACACUGUACUCAUCUGGACCUAAGACCCUCACGUGGUCCCUCACUGUGAACAUGGUGGCACAGAUGCCCCAUGUACUUCCAUACUUUGACACCUGGGCAGUAAGUGGUGGGGCCCUAGAGUUUGAGAGGCACUCAGUGCCCAAAGUCAGGCAGGUUACAGCCGGUGGAUGGUUCAGAAAUAGAGAUGAAUCUUGCUGGGUGGAGGCCUGGCCAUGCUUUUUGGGACGGCAAGUAGUUCCUGGCUUGGGCUGUCCUAGUGCAGGACACAGCUCCAUAGCAAAGAAACAGAAAGGAUUUUGGUCUAGCACAAGAAUUGAUGUCCAUUCUGGCAAGAGGAGGAAGGCUGACGAUCCAGUUCCAGAGCAACUGGAAGGCUCUGCUGAAAUUAUUGCCGUUGAAAUCAUGAUUCAUCUUUAUAUUUCAGGGUCAGCAGGCACCAAGAACAGAAGAGCCAGAUCACCCAGGCCAUAUGUUUGAGUCCAUUUCUAAGUCCAGACUUGCAGACGAGCAGCUUGCUGCAGGCUUGAGGCCAGCUCUUGCUCUGUCUUGGGGAAUAUUUUGAGCAAAAUGGGUGUCUUUGUAGAGACCCAGGCUCUCCUCAGCAUAAUCUGGGUGCAUUAGACAAAAGUGGCACUGUGCAUGUUGUGUGAAUCCUGAGCCUGGAUCAAACCAUUCUCUGCACACACUGGAUGCAAAUUACCAGCAGCCAACAGCCAGCCAAGUGGGCAGAGACUGUACAUCAUGGGGCUCAUCUCCUGCACACAGCGUUUUUCUCUAGAGGACUAGACAUCUGGACUGUCCUUUUUGCGAAGUCAAACCCUUGGGUAUCUGAGGAGCUUUGAGCAGUGCUCGCGCCUUCCUGACCUGUGCUGUCAGGGAUGGGCAGGAGAGAGGCUGCCCUGCAGGACAGGGUGUGCUUGGGGCAUGUUGGCUGCAAUGGUCUGAAUGCAGGCCCUGCACAAAGCAAGUAGGAUGGAAAAAAUAAACUAGAAAAUGCAAUUGUCAUGGAAUGGUGGUUACUUCCAGGGCUGGAAAAAAAUCUCAAUGUGCCAGGGUAAGGAUGAGAGGAAAAGAACCUGAUUAGGCAGAGAGUCCAGAUGGGAGGGGGAGGGCUGUGGGCCAAGAUUGCCAGCUUUAAUUGGUUUGUGCUAAUGAGUGUUGUUAGUGAUCUGCCUUGUGAUACAUUGAUUUGCUCUUUGAGAUGGAUGGUCCCACCCCAGUGAUGGAGCUCAAGUGACAGAGGUGUGUUGGUGCAGGUGACAUAACAUUCAUGUUGGAUGU
This is a non-coding RNA of Coturnix japonica (Japanese quail), 4872 nucleotides long. The record is from RefSeq and is a predicted model, not a curated record. Lineage: Eukaryota; Metazoa; Chordata; Aves; Galliformes; Phasianidae.